Molecule: long non-coding RNA, 265 nt
Filed under: Amborella trichopoda
Lineage: Eukaryota; Viridiplantae; Streptophyta; Magnoliopsida; Amborellales; Amborellaceae
Description: long non-coding RNA (ATRI_LNC005027)
Source: RNAcentral
AAAUCCCUGAGUGUUAGUGUUUUGUUGUGUUCCCAAUCCAAAAUCCCCGAAGCUUGUCCAUCCUUCAUGCUAACCUGCACUGUCGUGCUCAUCCCUACACUGUUGCUGUUGGGAAUCAUCAUCUCUCUCAUUUUCUCUUAGACCCCCUUCCCACUCUCCCUCAUUAGGUACAAUAUCACCGACAUAUUGUGGAUACAUUGGCUGGCUGCUUCCUCUUUCAUGCUGCUCAUCACUUUCUUCAAUAUCUUCAUCAUCGAUAGCCUCA